RNAcentral lists this ribosomal RNA (492 nucleotides) under uncultured bacterium. Its description in RNAcentral is "partial 16S ribosomal RNA". It matches the Rfam family "Bacterial small subunit ribosomal RNA", at positions 29 to 507 of the family's 1533-position model. The record is from RNAcentral.
AGUGAACGCUGGCGGUAGGCCUAACACAUGCAAGUCGAACGGCAGCACAGUAAGAGCUUGCUCUUACGGGUGGCGAGUGGCGGACGGGUGAGGAAUACAUCGGAAUCUACUUUUUCGUGGGGGAUAACGUAGGGAAACUUACGCUAAUACCGCAUACGACCUACGGGUGAAAGCAGUGGAUCUUCGGACCUUGCGCGAUUGAAUGAGCCGAUGUCGGAUUAGCUAGUUGGCGGGGUAAAGGCCCACCAAGGCGACGAUCCGUAGCUGGUCUGAGAGGAUGAUCAGCCACACUGGAACUGAGACACGGUCCAGACUCCUACGGGAGGCAGCAGUAGGGAAUAUUGGACAAUGGGCGCAAGCCUGAUCCAGCCAUACCGCGUGGGUGAAGAAGGCCUUCGGGUUGUAAAGCCCUUUUGUUGGGAAAGAAAAGCAGCAGGUUAAUACCCCGCUGUUCUGACGGUACCCAAAGAAUAAGCACCGGCUAACUUCGUG